CGGACCGGCUCGGCUCGGCUCGGCUCGGCUCCAUCACCCGGCUCGUGCCCACGCACUGGCUGAGGUAGUAGUUUGUGCUGUUGGGUCGUGACGCCGCCCGCUAUGGAGAUGACUGCGCAAGCUACUGCCUUGCCGGUGCUGGUGCCUCCGCUUCGGGACUAAAGCGAGGACACGCGGCCGCGCUCCCGACGCGGUUGUCCGGUUCGAGCAGAAUGUGCCGUUAGUUGAAAAGCUUGCAUGUAUUUGCGGGAUAUCCGACACUCCCGUUUGUGUCAUUUGCAUGCACAUCUUCUAAAACGCACGAGGAAGUCGACAUCUCCGGUUUUCCCACCAGCUUGUGGGCGGAAACGUGCAGGUCAACGAGGAGACGAGGGACGCGGCUCCGAUCCAGCGGAGCGGAUCGCGCUUCCUCCUCCUGCACCCGGACGCAUUUAAAUAAUAAUUCCAUUAUUAUGCUAAAUGUGCUUGUUGCGUAUGUUAGGGGCUGCCACAUGACCCCCCCAGGCCUUUUAGCAGUGGUGUCCGAGAGCCCUGAUGUGGGUCACAUGGGACCUCCUCCCAUCAGCAUCUGGUUGCUCUGUAUCAAAUGGCUAGGGGUCAUGAUGGUGAUGGGCGGGGUCAGCUGGAAUGAUGGACAGAUGACUGGCGCCUUCGUUUGACCUCCUGAGAACACGGCCAUAAAUGAAUGAGUUCUGAAUCUGCCCACAAGCAUCUGUGCUGAUAUAAAACCAUUUAAAACAAGAGUUUGACUUCUGUGAUAACCGGAGGUCGAAAGCAGUGUUUUGCUUUAGCAGAAGCGCUAAAGUACUACGCACACGUGAUACUACUGCUUAUUGUAGCACUACAGGUCUUCCUACUGUAUAAAUAAGAGUAAAAAAUGAAGAAAAUCAAGUAACCCCCCCCCCAAAUAAUUUAUUAUAGCAAGUGUAAAGCGAGCCGGUUUACGAGCCAGUGAGCAGCUCACCAGCAGACCUUGUCCUCAUCCAUCUUGUGCCGGCCUGCACAUAAAUCACGCUUUAGGGCCCAAACACUAAAGCGGUUCAUUUGACUCCUCCCUGUGGAACGUGCCUGCUCAGAUGGUUCUCACAGCUGAAGCAGCCUCAUCCUGACUGGACUGUCGACUGGAUCAUUGUAGUGUUUGGGAUUUUAACUUUUAGAAGCUGUAUUUUUCAUCUCCCAGUUUAUGACGUUGUUGGUCUCACCAAUAGAAAUGCGUAUUGAAACAAUGAUUGGAAGAGA
Molecule: long non-coding RNA, 1239 nt
Organism: Gasterosteus aculeatus aculeatus (three-spined stickleback)
Lineage: Eukaryota; Metazoa; Chordata; Actinopteri; Perciformes; Gasterosteidae
Source: Ensembl